UAUAUUCCUGUUAUCUCAUAGACGUAUUUAGGUAGGUACAUACGUAAUUAGGUAGUUACUAUCAAAUUAAAUGAAUAAUAGAGCUAUUAAUACGUGACCUAUUAUCACCAACAGCAGACAAAAUACACAGAACUACGUAAACAGAGUGGUCCCAAAGUUCUCAUUAACAUUCUUAAAGUAUAUUAGACCUUAUAAAACAGGUCUCCAGAAAACAAACUCUUGCGCAGCGCGACUCUGCAAACAAGAUGGCGGCGAUAACGGCGGCCAUCUUGUGGUAUCGAGGUUAUGAGGCUGUAAAUUCAAAUUAUGAUUUUAUAGCACCGUUGACUUAGUCAUUGUGUAAUUGUUUAAAGCAGGAGUUGCGACCAUGCACGUGGGAAUGAGAAUUUUUUUUCCAAAGAAAGUAGCAGGCAAAAGUCCAUGAAACUACGAUUUCGCGAAGCCAACUAUCUAAAAUUAGUAUUCAACAUAGAUAAAACUGUUGUCUUUGGUAGAAAAACAGGCUAAUCCCGGCGCGGAGUGAGACGACGAACAAAUUUGCUGUAUCAACAAUCAACCGGCACCUAACAUCGGCAGAAGGGGCAGACUCAAAAAGCGCGGGCUUGAUAUCGCCCAAGGAGGAUGUCACCGUGACCGUGUGAAGCAAGGGUGAAGUGAUGAUGAAAAAGUGGUCUCUGGGCUUCUUCGCUUAAUAGCUACAGGACUUCUUGAUAAAGUGUUUACUAACACUGCCGUCAGAUUGUAUAAGGCGCCUAAAGUCUGUCAUGAUGGUCAUGACUUUUAUGACCACCGUCAUCUAGCGACAGUAAUACCGUAUGCGCUUUUGAAUAUGAAAAAAUAUAUAAG
Molecule: long non-coding RNA, 846 nt
Organism: Plodia interpunctella (Indianmeal moth)
Lineage: Eukaryota; Metazoa; Arthropoda; Insecta; Lepidoptera; Pyralidae
Exons: 3
Source: RefSeq, a predicted model, not a curated record